This 87-nucleotide transfer RNA is filed under the name Skermanella mucosa. Its description in RNAcentral is "tRNA-Leu". It matches the Rfam family "tRNA". Rfam says of the family: Transfer RNA (tRNA) molecules are approximately 80 nucleotides in length. Lineage: Bacteria; Pseudomonadati; Pseudomonadota; Alphaproteobacteria; Rhodospirillales; Azospirillaceae. The record is from RNAcentral. RNAcentral also lists the same sequence under 2 other names.
GCCCCUGUGGCGGAAUCGGUAGACGCGGCGGACUCAAAAUCCGUUGCCAGUGAUGGCGUGCCAGUUCGAGUCUGGCCGGGGGCACCA